Cornus florida is the source of this 1153-nucleotide long non-coding RNA. RefSeq lists it as uncharacterized. The record is from RefSeq and is a predicted model, not a curated record. NCBI's taxonomy places the organism in Eukaryota, Viridiplantae, Streptophyta, Magnoliopsida, Cornales, Cornaceae. The transcript is spliced from 2 exons.
UUUUCUUGUUGGGAUGCUGAUGUGGCAAUGUAAUCUCUCGACCCAAUAAAGAAGCGACACCUAGCCACCUAUCUGUCCAUCAAGAGGCGCCAAACAGCUCCCAAGUCCCAUCCCAAUCAUAAUCAAGUGUAAACGAAACCCUCCAAUCUUGCUCGGGUCGAAAACCUCACCUACUGGACCUUCCUCAUCCUUAAUCACUGCCGAACAUAGAUCCUGCCAUCAACAACCACUGCCUCGGCCCACGACCUCAUCGCCUUCAUCAGAUCUAUUUCCGUGCAUCGUUUGCUAAUACAAUCUCUUGGAAAUCCUUCUAGAAAAGAUUUGAUUCAAGCCCGGCGUCCUUGGCACGGGCAUUAGAGUAGUGUUGCAGUGAACUAGGGUAGGAAUUUAGAUUGAUUUUUGGCUUGUGGACCACGGCGGAGGUGGUGACGAGGGGAUGCUCCUCUGUUUCUUCAAAGUUGGGCUGGAGCUUUCCCGGUGUUGAAGAUUCUGAAUUAAUACAUGACCGAUUUACUCGUCUUGGAUCUUCGGAUCAACUCGUCUAAGAACUUCGGAUCAACUCAUUUCAGAUCUUCGAAUCAACUUGUCUCAGAUCUCCAAAUGCACUCAUCUUGGAUCUCCAGAUCUACUCAUCUUAGACUCUCGCAACUUCGUAUUUAGUUUUAAGGUGGACACUUGAGUUAAAAUCUUCAUGUACCAACUUGAGAAGGGGGGGUGGGGAUUGGGGCGCGGGGGAGAAUAUCAUGAUAGAAGUGAUUUAAGCCUUCAUAGAAUAUUGAUGGGAGUGAUUUAAGGGAUUGAUUUUUAUUUUUAUUUUUCCCCAGAAAGUUAUGUUUGAAUUUAGGAAUCCUCCAUCAAUGUAUUUUCCAUAGUUAUCACUUGUACUCUUUCACCUAUAAAUAGAGGUGGUCAUUGUGAACAAAACUAAGAAAGAAUAUAAAAUAACUGAUGUAGCCCUUUUGGCUUUUUGUGCGGUGGAUGUAGGUCAUAGUGGCCGAACCAUGUUUAUCUUUGAGUUGUUUCAUUAUUGUUUACUCUCUUCAAUCUUUUACUUUCUUUCAACAAAGUCGAUGAGAGAAAAAUGAUCUGGUUUGUAGGUGAUAAAGGACAUCGACUAAAAUAAAAAAGGAAAAAAAAAAAAAAAAAAAAAAAA